Zophobas morio is the source of this 491-nucleotide long non-coding RNA. RefSeq lists it as uncharacterized. The record is from RefSeq and is a predicted model, not a curated record. The transcript is spliced from 5 exons. Lineage: Eukaryota; Metazoa; Arthropoda; Insecta; Coleoptera; Tenebrionidae.
UGUUAGCUUUGUAAAGUGGGUUAACUAGUAUAAUUUCUCGUUUGUACUAUGUCUGGCAAAAGCUGCAGAAAACUCCUCGUAAACGAGAUUCGGAAAAGAAAACUAGCAAACAUAUAUUGCGUUUGUAGUCUUGAUACGGAGUUGGAUACUCUCUUUGGAUUACUGGAGUCAAAUAAUAACAUUUUAGUUAGCUCUUCAAAACCUUUUCCGUUUUACAGGCAUUUUAUGGAUGAGCAAAAUAGAUAAACUUUUCUACCUUCUGUCUACCACCUUUCUUGUCGCUGCUUGCACAGAUACCUCGCUUGCUCUCCUCAGCUUUAAAGGGAAUGAAAAAGAUAUUAUAAAAGUUCGUGAACAUAAUGAUAUUGUUUAUUCAAUAUCGUCAGCGCAGUACAGUUUAACGAGUAUUCUAUUUAUUUCAUCCUCUCGAACGGAAAGUUGCCUUUGGCAACUCGAGUAUAAAAGUGACUCUAUAAAAUCUUUACAUAUUA